UGGUUCUGGCAUCGAUGAAGAACGCAGCGAAAUGCGAUAAGUAAUGUGAAUUGCAGAAUUCAGUGAAUCAUCGAAUCUUUGAACGCACAUUGCGCCCUCUGGUAUUCCGGGGGGCAUGCCUGUUCGAGCGUCAUUACAACCCUCAAGCUCUGCUUGGUACUGGGCGACACGGUGGUGCGCCUCAAAAUUAGUGGCGAUGCCAUCUGGCUUCAAGCGUAGUAAAUUUCCUCGCUACGGAGUCCAGGUGGUGUCUGCCAGCAACCCAUACUUCUCAAGGUUGACCUCGGAUCAGGUAGGGAUACCCGCUGA
RNAcentral lists this unclassified non-coding RNA (309 nucleotides) under uncultured fungus. Its description in RNAcentral is "partial contains 5.8S ribosomal RNA and internal transcribed spacer 2". The stretch from base 1 to 133 matches the Rfam family "5.8S ribosomal RNA", at positions 22 to 154 of the family's 154-position model. The record is from RNAcentral. Lineage: Eukaryota; Fungi.